Non-coding RNA from Trichobilharzia regenti, 46 nucleotides. NCBI's taxonomy places the organism in Eukaryota, Metazoa, Platyhelminthes, Trematoda, Strigeidida, Schistosomatidae. The record is from Rfam.
AUACCGCUGAAGAGUCCCAAACUAGGACGAAACAGCUUUCCAGUAC